Molecule: microRNA precursor, 153 nt
Filed under: Amborella trichopoda
Lineage: Eukaryota; Viridiplantae; Streptophyta; Magnoliopsida; Amborellales; Amborellaceae
Description: MIR8565 microRNA precursor family
Rfam family: MIR8565 microRNA precursor family
Source: Rfam by way of RNAcentral
CCCCCACUCACGUGUGUAGGACCCCAAAGGAUCACCAUUAAAUUUGACAUGGAUGUCUAAAAAAGUUAUCACAUGGGUGUUGGACUUGAUUUUUUUAGAGAUCCGUGCCAAAUUUAAUGGUGAUCUUUGAGGUCCUACACACAUGGGUGGGGG